Molecule: ribosomal RNA, 497 nt
Filed under: uncultured bacterium
Lineage: Bacteria
Description: partial 16S ribosomal RNA
Rfam family: Bacterial small subunit ribosomal RNA
Source: RNAcentral
GACGAACGCUGGCGGCGUGCCUAAUACAUGCAAGUUGAGCGCUGAAGGUUGGUACUUGUACCAACUGGAUGAGCAGCGAACGGGUGAGUAACGCGUGGGGAAUCUGCCUUUGAGCGGGGGACAACAUUGGGAAACGAAUGCUAAUACCGCAUAAAAACUUUAAACACAAGUUUUAAGUGUGAAAGAUGCAAUUGCAUCACUCAAAGAUGAUCCCGCGUUGUAUUAGCUAGUUGGUGAGGGAAAGGCCCACCAAGGCGAUGAUACAUAGCCGAACUGAGAGGGUGGUCGGCCCACUUGGGACUGGGAACACGCCCCAGCCCCCACCGGAGGCCGCCGUAGGGAAUCUUCCGCCAUGGAGGGAAGUCUGACCGGGCCACGCCCGGGGGGUGAAGAAGGGUUUCGGAUCGUAAAACUCUGUUGGUAGGGGAGAACGAUGGUGGGAGUGGAAAGCUCAUCAAGUGACGGUAACUACUCAGAAAGGGACGGCUAACUACGUG